AACGUCGCGGCGUGCUUACCAUGCACGUCAGACGAUGAACAAUUCGGUGGGGAUUAGUGGCGAACGGGUGAGUAACACGUGGGCAAUCUGCCCUGCACUCUGGGACAAGCCCUGGAAACGGGGUCUAAUACCGGAUACUGACCCGCUUGGGCAUCCAAGCGGUUCGAAAGCUCCGGCGGUGCAGGAUGAGCCCGCGGCCUAUCAGCUUGUUGGUGAGGUAAUGGCUCACCAAGGCGACGACGGGUAGCCGGCCUGAGAGGGCGACCGGCCACACUGGGACUGAGACACGGCCCAGACUCCUACGGGAGGCAGCAGUGGGGAAUAUUGCACAAUGGGCGAAAGCCUGAUGCAGCGACGCCGCGUGAGGGAUGACGGCCUUCGGGUUGUAAACCUCUUUCAGCAGGGAAGAAGCGAAAGUGACGGUACCUGCAGAAGAAGCGCCGGCUAACUACGUGCCAGCAGCCGCGGUAAUACGUAGGGCGCGAGCGUUGUCCGGAAUUAUUGGGCGUAAAGAGCUCGUAGGCGGCUUGUCACGUCGGUUGUGAAAGCCCGGGGCUUAACCCCGGGUCUGCAGUCGAUACGGGCAGGCUAGAGUUCGGUAGGGGAGAUCGGAAUUCCUGGUGUAGCGGUGAAAUGCGCAGAUAUCAGGAGGAACACCGGUGGCGAAGGCGGAUCUCUGGGCCGAUACUGACGCUGAGGAGCGAAAGCGUGAGGAGCGAACAGGAUUAGAUACCCUGGUAGUCCACGCCGUAAACGGUGGGCACUAGGCGUGGGCGACAUUCCACGUCGUCCGUGCCGCAGCUAACGCAUUAAGUGCCCCGCCUGGGGAGUACGGCCGCAAGGCUCACACUCAAAGGAAUUGAUGGGGGCCCGCACAAGCGGGGGAGCAUGCGGCUUACUUCGACGCAACGCGAAAAACAUGACCAAUGCUUGACAUACCUCGUAAAGUUGCAGAUAU
This 958-nucleotide ribosomal RNA is filed under the name Streptomyces sp. ICN35. RNAcentral describes it as "bacterial SSU rRNA". It matches the Rfam family "Bacterial small subunit ribosomal RNA", at positions 32 to 1007 of the family's 1533-position model. Lineage: Bacteria; Bacillati; Actinomycetota; Actinomycetes; Kitasatosporales; Streptomycetaceae. The record is from RNAcentral.